GACGGAGGGGGCUAGCGUUGUUCGGAAUGACUGGGCGUAAAGGGCGCGUAGGCGGUCGAUCAAGUCAGGCGUGAAAGCCUCGGGCUUAACCCGAGACUGCGCUUGAUACUGGUUGACUUGAGGACGAGAGAGGAAAGUGGAAUUCCGAGUGUAGAGGUGAAAUUCGUAGAUAUUCGGAGGAACAUCAGAGGCGAAGGCGCUUUCUGGCUCGUAACUGACGCUGAGGCGCGAAAAGCGUGGGGAGCAAACAGGG
This 253-nucleotide ribosomal RNA is filed under the name uncultured bacterium. RNAcentral describes it as "partial 16S ribosomal RNA". It matches the Rfam family "Bacterial small subunit ribosomal RNA", at positions 524 to 777 of the family's 1533-position model. The record is from RNAcentral.